This 66-nucleotide non-coding RNA is filed under the name Strombidinopsis acuminata. The record is from RNAcentral. Lineage: Eukaryota; Ciliophora; Spirotrichea; Choreotrichida; Strombidinopsidae.
CACUUAAGAAGUAUAGCAUGUCGCAGGGCGGAAAUCCUGCAAGCAAAAAGACUGGUAUUAAAAAGU